GAUGAAGAACGUAGCGAAAUGCGAUAAGUAGUGUGAAUUGCAGAAUUCAGUGAAUCAUCGAGUCUUUGAACGCACAUUGCGCCCCCUGGUAUUCCGGGGGGCAUGCCUGUCCGAGCGUCAUUGCUGCCCUCAAGCACGGCUUGUGUGUUGGGCUUCCGUCCCUGGCAACGGGGACGGGCCCAAAAGGCAGUGGCGGCACCAUGUCUGGUCCUCGAGCGUAUGGGGCUUUGUCACCCGCUCCCGUAGGUCCAGCUGGCAGCUAGCCUCGCAACCAAUCUUUUUAACCAGGUUGACCUCGGAUCAGGUAGGGAUACCCGCUGAACUUAAGCAUAUCAAUAAGCGGAGGA
Molecule: unclassified non-coding RNA, 347 nt
Filed under: soil metagenome
Description: partial contains 5.8S ribosomal RNA, internal transcribed spacer 2, and large subunit ribosomal RNA
Rfam family: 5.8S ribosomal RNA (bases 1-120)
Source: RNAcentral